CGCGCGAGUCAUUGGGAACGACUAAACCUAAAGGCGCAAUGAAAGUGAAGGUACGCCCCGAGCGGACCGAGGGAGGAUGGGCGGCGCACACCUUACGCCGCCCCGCACUCCCGGGGCGUCUCGCACUCAUCGCGAGGCGAGGCGCACCGCGAGCGCGCGCGCUGGGACCCGAAAGAUGGUGAACUAUGCCUGGUCAGGACGAAGUCAGGGGAAACCCUGAUGGAGGUCCGUAGCGAUUCUGACGUGCAAAUCGAU
RNAcentral lists this ribosomal RNA (255 nucleotides) under Hygrotus lernaeus. Its description in RNAcentral is "partial 28S ribosomal RNA". It matches the Rfam family "Eukaryotic large subunit ribosomal RNA", at positions 683 to 902 of the family's 3401-position model. Lineage: Eukaryota; Metazoa; Arthropoda; Insecta; Coleoptera; Dytiscidae. The record is from RNAcentral.